UUUUUUUUUGGUUUUUUUUUGGACGUUAGUUU
Molecule: small RNA, 32 nt
Filed under: Arabidopsis thaliana (thale cress)
Lineage: Eukaryota; Viridiplantae; Streptophyta; Magnoliopsida; Brassicales; Brassicaceae
Description: ATSL070580
Source: RNAcentral